This 303-nucleotide long non-coding RNA is filed under the name Gallus gallus (chicken). The record is from RNAcentral. Lineage: Eukaryota; Metazoa; Chordata; Aves; Galliformes; Phasianidae.
GGCUGUGCAGGAUGCAGUGUGGCUGUGCAGGUUUCAAUGUAGCUGUGCAGGUUUCAGUGUAGCUGUGCAGGAUGCAGUGCCUCCAUGCAGCCCCCUGAGCAGCAGCUCCCGCGUGCCUCUCUCCUCCAGAAGGGAUAAUCCAAACCCGGACAGCACCCAACAGAUGUUCCUUCUCCGUAUGGGAAAACGCCGAGUGAAACAAAGAAAUAUUCUCCCGCUGAAGUCCAACAUCUGUUUGAAGCCGUCUGGCUCUGGUCCAGACUUUAAUUCUUGUGACAGGUCUCUUCAUGCCUUUAAUUUCCC